AGAGACAAUCUCUACAAGACUCAUUUUAACACAAUGUUUGUUUGUUUUUUUUUUUAAUUGAGCUUAAAUAAAUCUGCUUGUGUUUUUUUUGAGGUGCAGACAGUUGCCUGUGCUCAAAACCAGCUGGAUACAAGGUAGUUCUUGUUCAAAAGUUGUGUGGCAGAGUUACUGGAAACAUGAGCUGUAGCUUCUGCAUCCUGUCUCUUGGUACAGAGUGUAUUCACAUAGAUUGACUGGAACAGACCGUGGGGAAAUAGAAGAAUUCUCUCACUUUGUGAAAACAAAAAGAUGUUCUGCAAAAGUAAUGUGUCCUCAUGGAGUACUGAUCUCUGAAUUACCUGAAUAAGAACCUCAGAAUGCCAUGACACCUGACCCAGAAUUUUAGGAUGUUGGUGUGACUUUGUCCCUUGAGUUCCUCUGAUGCUAAAAUCCCAUGUCCUAGUGCCAGAACCCUCAGCUGCUUAUGGAUUAUCCCUCAGUACAUUAUUAUGGAAGGAUCAGUUGACUUCUGUGGGAUACAUUGAAGAAUGAAGGUCUUCUGGAUCCUUUUCAAAUUCCACUAAGAAUGGUUUCACUUGUAGGUUUCUAAUUUCCUCAGAUUUGCUUCAAUCAAUAGAAUACUCUAAUCACAAAAAGACUAUUAUGUAUCAUAUGCUGAACUGUAGGCCAGUCCUUCCAAUGCAAUCCUGCUGCAUAAUUUUCCUUCAGGAGGGAUGAAGAAGCUUCAAAGUUGGUUACAUCUCAGGCCUGAAACUCUGAUCUAUUUUCCCAUGGAACCUGUUCAUUUUUUGACUGAAGUAAGUUUGAAAAUUUAUUCCUUACAGUGUAAACCUAGGUAACCCUUUAAUGAGAGGAUUUUACAGGCAGAUGUGAACAGUAGUGAUGAGACCCCCCUCUAGUAAUGCUUUUUUAAUGGAAAAGGAGACAUAGGAAGCAUCAAAGACAUAGGAACAGUGGUUCUGCACAUGAUUGACCUUAAUUUUUUGGAAGCAGAAAUUGAUUUUCAUACCUUUUCAACCUGCACUAUGAACUCAAGCGCAUGAUUUCCUCCUCUCCAUCUGAUUAGAAACUGAAAUUCAGUCAGAAAUUGAAAUAUAUAUAUGUAUGUCUUUUUAUGACAGAAAUUUACCUGUCUUUCUGAAGAGUUCACUCUCAAAGCUGUCAGUGUGGAAUGCGAACAAAAUUGGAGGUAUUUUCUACUGCAUGGUUCAUAGGCUUGUUUUUCAGUUCUUGUAAAGUGGCCUGUUAGUAAUGUCAGAGAGAAAUUAAUGCAAUAGAAUUUCUUGAAUUCAAGUGGCUUAGCAGAAUUACAUUUUGAAUGGGUGUUUGGAUGUAUGUGUUUAACCUUUCUCUUAACAAUUUAUCUGGGAACAUAUCCAUAAUGCUCCUUUUACUGAUAUUAUAAGCUGAGUGAUAAUAAAUACUGUUUUCCUAUUAAAAAAAAAAAAAAAAAAAAAAUCUGUAUGUUGGCAAAUAAAGAGAAGGCAAGAAGUACCUG
This 1498-nucleotide long non-coding RNA is filed under the name Gallus gallus (chicken). Its description in RNAcentral is "lncRNA (ENSGALG00010019827.1)". Lineage: Eukaryota; Metazoa; Chordata; Aves; Galliformes; Phasianidae. The record is from RNAcentral.